ACAUAUACCGGAAAGCAUCAGAGAUGGUGCCCCCCUUGUGGUCGGUAUACAGGUGGUGCAUGGCUGUCGUCAGCUCGUGUCGUGAGAUGUUGGGUUAAGUCCCGCAACGAGCGCAACCCUUGUUCUGUGUUGCCAGCAUGCCCUUCGGGGUGAUGGGGACUCACAGGAGACUGCCGGGGUCAACUCGGAGGAAGGUGGGGACGACGUCAAGUCAUCAUGCCCCUUAUGUCUUGGGCUGCACACGUGCUACAAUGGCCGGGGUCACAUGAGAUGGGAUGCCCCGAGGCGGAGCGAAUCUCAAAAAGCCGGUCUCAGUUCGGAUUGGGGUCUGCAACUCGACCCCAUGAAGUCGGAGUUGCUAGUAAUCGCAGAUCAGCAUUGCUGCGGUGAAUACGUUCCCGGGCCUUGUACACACCGCCCGUCACGUCACGAAAGUCGGUAACACCCGAAGCCGUUCCCCAACCCCUUGUGGGAGGGACGCUGUCGAAGGUGGGACUGGCGA
Molecule: ribosomal RNA, 502 nt
Filed under: Streptomyces shaanxiensis
Lineage: Bacteria; Bacillati; Actinomycetota; Actinomycetes; Kitasatosporales; Streptomycetaceae
Description: bacterial SSU rRNA
Rfam family: Bacterial small subunit ribosomal RNA
Source: RNAcentral